Molecule: long non-coding RNA, 493 nt
Organism: Dermacentor silvarum
Lineage: Eukaryota; Metazoa; Arthropoda; Arachnida; Ixodida; Ixodidae
Exons: 3
Source: RefSeq, a predicted model, not a curated record
GGAGAAAGGAGCGCCGGGGCCAAGCAGCCUGCGCUCGCACUCACUGGGUGUGCCUACCCAUACUCCACCCAGUGAAGCCGACAGCAUAUCCAAUCAGCACGGCUGCGCGUGCUGCCUUGAAAGCAGAGUCUAUUUAUUUCACGGCCAGUAUCCAUUCGUGUACGACAACACGGUGGUGGCCGGAAACACCACAGAAAAAUCUUCCAUUGGCCAGUCUGUUUCCUGGGCUGUUGCCUGAUGCCCUUCUGCAUAAGGGGUUGCAAGGACAUCUCCCACGUCUGUCCAGAGUGCAACAGAGUGCUGGGCACAUUCCGCAGGGUUUAGGCUACCCCGCAGUGGCCACGCGGUCUUCGCCCCGUGAGGAAAGCCAUGGCUACUUCCUCGUGCUCCCCAAAAGGCACCUCGAGCUUCAAAUUCCGCAGCACAAGUGGCAACCCACUGCAUAAAAUCUCGGCGUCGGGCUCACCUGCUCAUUCCUCGACGCUCGGCACGG